This 253-nucleotide ribosomal RNA is filed under the name uncultured prokaryote. Its description in RNAcentral is "partial 16S ribosomal RNA". It matches the Rfam family "Bacterial small subunit ribosomal RNA", at positions 525 to 777 of the family's 1533-position model. The record is from RNAcentral.
ACGGGGGGUGCGAGCGUUGUCCGGAAUCACUGGGCGUAAAGGGCGCGUAGGCGGCUUGGCAAGUGGAAGGUGAAAUCCCUCGGCUUAACCGAGGAACUGCCCUCCAAACUGCUUUGCUUGAGGCCGGGAGAGGCGAGUGGAAUUCCCAGUGUAGCGGUGAAAUGCGUAGAUAUUGGGAGGAACACCAGUGGCGAAGGCGGCUCGCUGGACCGGUUCUGACGCUGAUGCGCGAAAGCGUGGGGAGCAAACGGGA